This 167-nucleotide ribosomal RNA is filed under the name Arabidopsis thaliana (thale cress). RNAcentral's name for it is "5.8S ribosomal RNA". It matches the Rfam family "5.8S ribosomal RNA". Rfam says of the family: 5.8S ribosomal RNA (5.8S rRNA) is a component of the large subunit of the eukaryotic ribosome. It is transcribed by RNA polymerase I as part of the 45S precursor that also contains 18S and 28S rRNA. Lineage: Eukaryota; Viridiplantae; Streptophyta; Magnoliopsida; Brassicales; Brassicaceae. The record is from RNAcentral.
AAAACGACUCUCGGCAACGGAUGUCUCGGCUCUCGCAUCGAUGAAGAACGUAGCGAAAUGCGAUACUUGGUGUGAAUUCGCCAAGAAUCCCGUGAACCAUCGAGUCUUUGAACGCAAGUUGCGCCCCAAGCCUUCUGGCCGAGGGCACGUCUGCCUGGGUGUCACAA